AUUUUCAGAGAGUGAGCUAACGCAUGAAAUCAGCAGCCUAAAGACUACGGCCGCAAGGCUAAAAUUUAAAGGAAUUGACGGGGGCUUACACAAGCGGUGGAGCAUGUGGUUUAAUUCGAAGCAACGCGCAGAACCUUACCAAUCCUUGCAAUAUACAGAAAACAAUGGUUAUGCUUUGUAUUUUGGUAUACAGGCGCUGCAUGGCUGUCGUCAGUUCGUGGCGUGAGCUGUUGGGUUAAGUCCUAGAACGAACGCAACCCUCUUGACAAGUGUAUAUUUUUAUACUAUACCUUUUCAUACUGCCAGUGACAUACGGGAGGAAGGUGAGGAUGACGUCAAGUCCGCAUGGCCCUUAUGGGUUGGGCUACACACGUGCUACAAUGACGGAAGCAAAAGGCAGCAAUAUGGUGACAUGGAGCAAAUCCCUAAAAGCCGUCGUAGUUCGGAUUGUUCUCUGCAACUCGAGAACAUGAAGAUGGAAUCGCUAGUAAUCGUAGAUCAGCAUGCUACGGUGAAUUUGUAUCUAAGCCUUGUACACACCGCCCGUCACAUAAUGGGAGCGAGAUCUGCACAAAGUAUUUUAUUGCUACACAUAAGCAUAUGUAUAAUGUAUUAUUCAUAAGGUGUGUACUGCAUACAAUAUUACUGCAGGUAUUGUGACUGAUAUGAAGUCGUAACAAGGUAGCCGU
Molecule: ribosomal RNA, 689 nt
Filed under: uncultured Micromonas
Lineage: Eukaryota; Viridiplantae; Chlorophyta; Mamiellophyceae; Mamiellales
Description: partial Bacterial small subunit ribosomal RNA
Rfam family: Bacterial small subunit ribosomal RNA
Source: RNAcentral